UAGGGAAUCUUCGGCAAUGGACGAAAGUCUGACCGAGCAACGCCGCGUGAGUGAAGAAGGUUUUCGGAUCGUAAAACUCUGUUGUUAGAGAAGAACAAGGACGUUAGUAACUGAACGUCCCCUGACGGUAUCUAACCAGAAAGCCACGGCUAACUACGUGCCAGCAGCCGCGGUAAUACGUAGGUGGCAAGCGUUGUCCGGAUUUAUUGGGCGUAAAGCGAGCGCAGGCGGUUUCUUAAGUCUGAUGUGAAAGCCCCCGGCUCAACCGGGGAGGGUCAUUGGAAACUGGGAGACUUGAGUGCAGAAGAGGAGAGUGGAAUUCCAUGUGUAGCGGUGAAAUGCGUAGAUAUAUGGGGGAACACCAGUGGCGAGGGCGGCUCUCUGGUCUGUAACUGACGCUGAGGCUCGAAAGCGUGGGGAGCAAACAGG
RNAcentral lists this ribosomal RNA (429 nucleotides) under Chloroflexota bacterium. RNAcentral describes it as "Chloroflexi bacterium partial 16S ribosomal RNA". It matches the Rfam family "Bacterial small subunit ribosomal RNA", at positions 355 to 776 of the family's 1533-position model. The record is from RNAcentral. Lineage: Bacteria; Bacillati; Chloroflexota.